This 253-nucleotide ribosomal RNA is filed under the name uncultured bacterium. Its description in RNAcentral is "partial 16S ribosomal RNA". It matches the Rfam family "Bacterial small subunit ribosomal RNA", at positions 524 to 776 of the family's 1533-position model. The record is from RNAcentral.
UACGGAGGGUGCAAGCGUUGCUCGGAAUUAUUGGGCGUAAAGGGUAGGUAGGUGGUCUUAUUUGUCUGAGGUGAAAUCCUUGAGCUUAACUCAAGAAGAGCCUCAGAAACGGUGAGACUAGAGUCCUGGAGAGGGUCGUGGAAUUCCCGGUGUAGCGGUGAAAUGCGUAGAGAUCGGGAGGAACACCAGAGGCGAAGGCGGCGACCUGGACAGGCACUGACACUCAACUACGAAAGCGUGGGGAGCAAACAGG